AAAAUUGUUACGGUGAAAAUUCUUAGUUCGAAGUUACCAAUCAAUCCAACCAUGCUUUACUUGGAGGAGCUGUUAGUCGUAGAACUUUUAAAAGUAUAACUUUUAUAAAAAAUUAUUUGAUGUUUGGUAACUAUAUUUUUAAAAUGCUGUAGCACGUUAACAUAUGUUUAAUAAAUAAAUUGAGAAAGUAUUUUUGUAUAACGAAAUUAUCAUAAAGAAUAUUGCAUAGUAUUAUAAAAGAAAGCAUAAUAAAAUAUAACAUAUAUUAAUACAUAAAUAUAUGAUAUAGUAUAAUAUUAUUAUAAUAUAAUAAUAUAAUAUAAUAACUUAAUAUAAUAUUAAAUUAUUUAAUAUAUUUUAUUAUCAAUAUUUUGGUGAAAAAAAUAACUUUUCGAUAAAAUUCAAAAUAUUUUUUUCGAAAAGCUCCAAAAUAAAACAUCUUCCAAAAAGCUGCUCUCAGCUUUUUUAGAAAACUAAAACAAUUUUUCAAAACUUUUACCAAACACUAUUUUUAUCUAAAAAUAUUUUUAAAAAAUUAAAAAAUAUUUUUUGGCUCUCUAAAUUUUUUCCCAAAUAGAGCAUUAAAUUACAGUGGACUACCUUCUUCAUCGGAAAAUCUGCAGUGCGUCUGCUCACGGGGAUGCAGGGAGGGGGGCCCCCCACGAAAAUGAACUUGAAAAUUACUGAGGGAGACGUCCACUCGCAGCUGGCAGGUACAUCACAUCUCAUCCUUUGACAUCUAAAUCUAAUCCAACCAAAGCGCUGAUAUACAUACAAGGCGGAACGCACCACAACCGCACCACGGAUACCCCUGGCUUUUGUGUACGCCGGACCAGGCUUUUCACGUGAUUUGACAAGCCUCCCAAAACACCAAGCUAGAACCCAAGAGCCUUGG
RNAcentral lists this long non-coding RNA (895 nucleotides) under Phoenix dactylifera (date palm). RNAcentral's name for it is "long non-coding RNA (PDAC_LNC017238)". Lineage: Eukaryota; Viridiplantae; Streptophyta; Magnoliopsida; Arecales; Arecaceae. The record is from RNAcentral.